GAUAAACGCUGGCGGCGUGCCUAACACAUGCAAGUCGAACGCUCUGAGUAAUCAGAGAGUGGCGGACGGGUGAGUAACACGUGGGCAAUCUACCCCGAGGUGAGGAAUACCAGCGAGAAAUCGCUGACAAUACCGCAUAUGCUCUGCAAAGAGCAAAGUCUGCAAAGACGCCUCAGGAUGAGCCUGCGCUCGAUUAGUUGGUUGGNGGGGUAAUGGCCUACCAAGACUGCGAUCGAUAGCUGGUCUGAGAGGACGAUCAGCCACACUGGGAUUGAGAACGGCCCAGACUCC
RNAcentral lists this ribosomal RNA (291 nucleotides) under uncultured bacterium. Its description in RNAcentral is "partial 16S ribosomal RNA". It matches the Rfam family "Bacterial small subunit ribosomal RNA", at positions 28 to 339 of the family's 1533-position model. The record is from RNAcentral.